AUGCCAAGGACAAUGGGCAUCCUUCUCUCCAGGAUGAGAUGUGACCCCAGCCAUAAGCAAGGAAACCAUGAGUCUUCAAUGCAAUUAGCCCUCUCUUUGCCUAGAAGUGUUCCUGGAUGGAUGUGGAAGAGACAUGUGAUGGGGAAGUGGCUUUGCAGAGAUGAAGCUAGACCUACAUUCAGGGUUGUCCUGGAUAUCUGUGCAAAUCUUCCUGAAGACCAGGAUGGGGACUGCAAGGACAAAAGACAUAAGUUGACAAAAAGAAAAGAAUCAAGAAAAAUCUAUUGAUGACCAUGGGAAGUCAUGGACACUACUGCUGGAAGUGUGACUCAGGUAUCAUUGCAUGGCAAAAUACAUGUAAAAUCAUGUUAAUUGUUUGCUAUAUGUAAAACACACUAGCAUUCAGUAGAGGGAGCACUCUUUAUCAUAAUGAAGGUCUCUAAGACUAUUUGCUGCAGCCACAAGGAGAUGAUCUAUUGGACAAAAACGCACACAGAACAUUUCAAGGAUGACAUGACUAUGCUGGAAAAGAAGGGGGAGCUCUAAGAGUGUCUACUUCAGAGUGUAGUAUUCAUAACUAACAAAGUCAAGACUCAAUGAUCUGAUCCCUCAAAAGGUUGUCAGUACAAUAGGUCAAUAUAUGCCCUUUGACUUGCAACAGAAGAUUCAUAUAGAUUCAUUUUAAAGGUCUAAUGUAUUUAUAACUUUUUUUCUUCAUGUAUGAUGCUUCAUCUGUGUCCAACUCAGAAAAAAUCUGUGAUAGCGAGAGACAUGGGUGAUAUGUAGUCACAUAAUAAAUGGAUCUUGAACACUGCUUGAGGGCAAGUUCAAGAAACUCUGCAUGUGGCGCCUGGUUUCUAAUAGUCAAAAUGUCUGCUGCAGUCUCUUGGGUUUUAAA
Molecule: long non-coding RNA, 898 nt
Organism: Rhea pennata
Lineage: Eukaryota; Metazoa; Chordata; Aves; Rheiformes; Rheidae
Exons: 3
Source: RefSeq, a predicted model, not a curated record